UACGAAGGGGGCUAGCGUUGCUCGGAUUGACUGGGCGUAAAGGGCGCGUAGGCGGUUCGUACAGUCAGACGUGAAAUUCCUGGGCUCAACCUGGGGGCUGCGCUUAAUACAGGCAGACUAGAGUGUGAAAGAGGGUCGUGGAAUUUCCAGUGUAGAGGUGAAAUUCGUAGAUAUUGGAAAGAACACCGGUGGCGAAGGCGGCGACCUGGUUCAUUACUGACGCUGAGGCGCGAAAGCGUGGGGAGCAAACAGG
This 253-nucleotide ribosomal RNA is filed under the name uncultured bacterium. RNAcentral's name for it is "partial 16S ribosomal RNA". It matches the Rfam family "Bacterial small subunit ribosomal RNA", at positions 524 to 776 of the family's 1533-position model. The record is from RNAcentral.